GGAAGUAAAGUCGUAACAAGGUCUCCGUAGGUGAACCUGCGGAGGGAUCAUUACAGAGUUCUCGCCCUCACGGGUAGAUCUCCCACCCACUGUUAUCGUUACUGUCGUUUCUUUGGCGGGCCGCCGGGUCCCCGGCCGCCGGCGCCUAGCUGCCGGCGCGCGCCCGCCAGAGGCCUUCAAACUCUGAAUGUUAGUGUCGUCUGAGUACUAUAUAAUAGUUAAAACUUUCAACAACGGAUCUCUUGGUUCUG
This 251-nucleotide unclassified non-coding RNA is filed under the name plant metagenome. RNAcentral describes it as "partial contains small subunit ribosomal RNA, internal transcribed spacer 1, and 5.8S ribosomal RNA". The stretch from base 1 to 53 matches the Rfam family "Eukaryotic small subunit ribosomal RNA", at positions 1778 to 1831 of the family's 1831-position model. The record is from RNAcentral.